This 460-nucleotide ribosomal RNA is filed under the name uncultured bacterium. RNAcentral describes it as "partial 16S ribosomal RNA". It matches the Rfam family "Bacterial small subunit ribosomal RNA", at positions 338 to 795 of the family's 1533-position model. The record is from RNAcentral.
CCUACGGGUGGCAGCAGUGAGGAAUAUUGGUCAAUGGACGAGAGUCUGAACCAGCCAAGUAGCGUGAAGGAUGACUGCCCUAUGGGUUGUAAACUUCUUUUAUCAAGGAAUAAAACGAGGCACGUGUGCCUUUUUGCAUGUACUUUAUGAAUAAGGAUCGGCUAACUCCGUGCCAGCAGCCGCGGUAAUACGGAGGAUCCGAGCGUUAUCCGGAUUUAUUGGGUUUAAAGGGAGCGUAGAUGGGUUGUUAAGUCAGGUGUGAAAGUUUGGGGCUCAACCGUAAAAUUGCAAUUGAUACUGGCAGUCUUGAGUACAGUUGAGGUAGGCGGAAUGCGUGGUGUAGCGGUGAAAUGCUUAGAUAUCACGAAGAACCCCGAUUGCGAAGGCAGCUUACCAAACUGUGACUGACACUGAUGCUCGAAAGUGUGGGUAUCAAACAGGAUUAGAUACCCGAGUAGUC